GACGAACGCUGGCGGCGUGCUUAACACAUGCAAGUCGAACGGUGAAGCGCCUUCCUUUUUGGUGGGUGUGGAUGAGUGGCGAACGGGUGAGUAACACGUGAGUAACCUGCCCCCUUCUUCUGGAUAACCGCAUGAAAGUGUGGCUAAUACGGGAUAUUCUGGGUCUGUCGCAUGAUGGGUCUGGGAAAGAUAUUGUUUCGGUGGGGGAUGGGCUCGCGGCCUAUCAGCUUGUUGGUGGGGUGAUGGCCUACCAAGGCGGUGACGGGUAGCCGGCCUGAGAGGGUGGACGGUCACACUGGGAAUGAGACACGGCCCAGACUCCUACGGGAGGCAGCAGUGGGGAAUAUUGCACAAUGGGCGCAAGCCUGAUGCAGCGACGCCGCGUGAGGGAUGGAGGCCUUCGGGUUGUGAACCUCUUUCGCCAGUGAAGCAGGGCUGCCUCGUUUGUGGGUGGGUUGACGGUAGCUGGAUAAGAAGCGCCGGCUAACUACGUG
This 494-nucleotide ribosomal RNA is filed under the name uncultured bacterium. RNAcentral's name for it is "partial 16S ribosomal RNA". It matches the Rfam family "Bacterial small subunit ribosomal RNA", at positions 28 to 507 of the family's 1533-position model. The record is from RNAcentral.